UCCAUUUUCCAACCCGUAUAUGCAAAAUGCCGUCACACUAAUAUUGAUAACACAUGCCUACUUUAAGAAGUUGUGCUUAUAUUCUGCUUACAUCAAGAUUUUCUUACUCUACCUAAAUAUCAGCACAUAUUGGAUAUUUACAUUUGUAUGUGUAAGACUUGUUUGUUUGUUUUUGUUACAGUAACAUGACAAAACGAAUAUCUUCAGGCACAUGGAUACUAAUUAAAAACAAGAAUCUUCCACAGCAGUUGGUUGGGUCAGUGGAUUGUGGAGUAUUCAUGUUGAUGUAUGCUCUGCACCUUGUCUUGGAUGCACCAUUUGACUUCACAGCUGACAAAGGCGUUCACUAAAGGGGCACUGGAGAGUGUGAAUGAGACCCAGAGCAGUGAGGAGGAACCACUAAUAAAAAGGGACCUCCACACUGCAGUAAAAUGGUUGCGCCAACAUAGACAGUUGUUCAGAGGUGCCGUGUCUGAGCCCCAUUUUCUGGAGAUGGAGGAGGAGGACCAAAGCCGAGCUCCCAGGACAUCAUCGAUGCAGUUGAAACUGAAGAUUUAAUUUUGGCAAAAGAACCCUUUAUAUUUAUUUUUCAGUUUAGGGAUGAUAUGGAACUUUUCACUC
This is an RNA transcript of Polypterus senegalus (gray bichir), 621 nucleotides long. It is a transcript of the gene named structural maintenance of chromosomes protein 5-like, with no coding region annotated. The record is from RefSeq and is a predicted model, not a curated record. Lineage: Eukaryota; Metazoa; Chordata; Cladistia; Polypteriformes; Polypteridae. The transcript is spliced from 5 exons.